CCUACGGGAGGCAGCAGUGGGGAAUAUUGCGCAAUGGGCGAAAGCCUGACGCAGCGACGCCGCGUGAGGGAUGAAGGUCUUCGGAUCGUAAACCUCUGUCAGCAGGGAAGAACGGUCACUGUGCUAAUCAGCAGUGAAUUGACGGUACCUGCAAAGGAAGCACCGGCUAACUCCGUGCCAGCAGCCGCGGUAAUACGGAGGGUGCGAGCGUUAGUCGGAAUUACUGGGCGUAAAGCGCUCGUAGGCGGUAUGUCAAGUCAAGGGUGAAAUCCCCGCGCUCAACGUGGGAACUGCCUUUGAAACUGGCAGACUGGAGUGUGCGAGAGGAUAGUGGAAUUCCAGGUGGAGGAGUGAAAUCCGUAGAUAUCUGGAGGAACAUCAGUGGCGAAGGCGACUAUCUGGCACAUAACUGACGCUGAGGAGCGAAAGCGUGGGUAGCAAACAGGAUUAGAUACCCUUGUAGUC
Molecule: ribosomal RNA, 465 nt
Filed under: uncultured bacterium
Lineage: Bacteria
Description: partial 16S ribosomal RNA
Rfam family: Bacterial small subunit ribosomal RNA
Source: RNAcentral